RNAcentral lists this ribosomal RNA (253 nucleotides) under uncultured bacterium. RNAcentral's name for it is "partial 16S ribosomal RNA". It matches the Rfam family "Bacterial small subunit ribosomal RNA", at positions 524 to 776 of the family's 1533-position model. The record is from RNAcentral.
UACGUAGGGGGCAAGCGUUGUCCGGAAUCAUUGGGCGUAAAGCGCGUGUAGGCGGCCAGGUAAGUCCGUUCUGAAAGCCCGGGGCUCAACCCCGGGAGGCGGAUGGAUACUGCUUGGCUCGAGUCCGGAAGAGGCGAGUGGAAUUCCCGGUGUAGCGGUGAAAUGCGUUGAGAUCGGAAGGAACGCCCGUGGCGAAAGCGAGGUCCUGGACGUCUACUGACGCUGAGACGCGAAAGCUAGGGGAGCAAACGGG